GACGAACGCUGGCGGCGUGCCUAAUACAUGCAAGUAGAACGCACAGUUUAUACCGUAGCUUGCUACACCAUAGACUGUGAGUUGCGAACGGGUGAGUAACGCGUAGGUAACCUGCCUGGUAGCGGGGGAUAACUAUUGGAAACGAUAGCUAAUACCGCAUAAUAUUAAUUAUUGCAUGAUAAUUAAUUGAAAGGUGCAAUUGCACCACUACCAGAUGGACCUGCGUUGUAUUAGCUAGUAGGUGAGGUAACGGCUCACCUAGGCGAGGAUACAUAGCCGACCGGAGAGGGUGGUCGGCCACACUGGGACUGAGACACGGCCCAGACGCCCACGGGAGGCAGCAGUAGUGAAUCUUCGGCAAGGGACGAAAGUCUGAGCGAGCAACGCCGCGGGAGUGAAGAAGGUUGUCGGAUCGUAAAGCUCUGUUGUAAGAGAAGAACGGGUGUGAGAGUGGAAAGUUCACACUGUGACGGUAACUGACCAGAAAGGGACGGCUAACUACGUG
This 505-nucleotide ribosomal RNA is filed under the name uncultured bacterium. RNAcentral's name for it is "partial 16S ribosomal RNA". It matches the Rfam family "Bacterial small subunit ribosomal RNA", at positions 28 to 507 of the family's 1533-position model. The record is from RNAcentral.